UGGACAUCUCUGUACAAAAUAUUAACAAACUAAUACUAGUAGUUUAUGUUAUGUACAACUAGAGAAAACCCUAGUGACAUAUACAAAAAGUUAAUGAAUAGUGGCACAAAUAAUUACAAUAAUAUAAAAUAAAGAGCUUAAGAAAACAUCUGUCAAGAAUCUUUGUGCUUCAAUCUGUGAAAGUUAAAACAGUAAUCAUAGCUUCAGUGGCCAACAGCUCUUUGUCUGUACACUGCUGGUUUCAUAAGGAUUCUCUUUUAAAGAAGUGAAGAAACAAAGAAAGAAAACAAAAUCAAAAGAGCUUAAUCAAGAAAGAUAUGUUUGGCAAUUGUGACCAGAAGAAGAAGAUGCCUAGCAUCAGCUCUCCCAAUACCAAUCCACUGGCUAUUAUGCAGAGCAAGAACAUGAUUGUGGCUCCGUCUCAUCAGCAGCAGCAACAACAGCAAGCGCAUCAACAGCAACCACAACUUAAAUGCCCUCGUUGCGAUUCUUCUAACACAAAGUUCUGUUACUACAACAACUACAGCCUCUCUCAGCCGCGGCACUUUUGCAAGGCUUGCAAGAGGUAUUGGACACGAGGUGGGACCCUCCGUAACGUUCCCGUAGGCGGUAGCUACCGGAAAAAUAAACGUGUGAAGCGGCCAGCAACCGCUGCCUCCACGGUCUCGAAGACUACUUCUUCAUCCCCUAAUCAUCAGAUCUCCCAUUUCUCUUCCAUGAAUCAUCAUCCCAUGCUCUAUGGUUUAUCAGAUCAUGUGAGCAGUUGUAAUAGUCUUCCAAUGAUUCCAAGCCGGUUCAAUGAUUCUUCAAAGACUUCAUCAAGUGGUUUAGAGAGUGAGUUUUUCUCAUCUGGUUUUAGUGGCCUUGGUGCUCUUGGUCUAGGGUUUCCACAUCAUAUGAGUCAUGACCACACCGCCAUUAACGGUGGCUUCAUCAACAACUCUACAGCAAACAAACCCUUUCUUCUCUCGGGGCUAUUUGGGUCUUCGGUAUCUUCAUCUUCCUCUAGUCAUCUCCAGCAUCCACACAAACCCAUGAACAAUGGUGGUGAGAUGAUGGGACAAUCCCAUCUCCAAACCCUAGCAUCACUUCAAGAUCUGCAUGUUGGAGGUAACAAUGAAGAUGUGAACAAAUUAGGGAAGCUGGGUCAGAUCUCAGGGACCUUUAGUGGAUUCAUGUCACCAUCCUCUUUAGAUCCUUCAAACUCCAACAACAUAUGGAAUAAUGCGAGUGUUGUCAAUGGAGGAUGGCUUGAUCCGACAAAUAAUAACGUUGGAUCCUCCCUUACCUCCUUGAUAUAAACCAAAACUUAUUGCUUAUAGAAUCCAUUACUAGCUGGGGUUUCAUCUUCAUCACUUUUUUUCUUUGCGUUUUGAGAUGAGAGAAGAAGCUUGGAUCAGAGAGAUAAAAUCAGGGGAAAUGUUGAUGUUAGCUACUAUAAACUCCCUCGGAUCCUCUUCAUCUCAACAUCUUCAUCACGCGUUGUUCAAGAAAAACAAAAGAGCGCUCAAGAUUGGUUCAAGGUUUACUAUGUUCGACUGUUAACUUCACUCGAGAUGCAGAGAGAAACAAAGGAAAGGGGCUUCACGGCUUCAAGCUCUGAAUAUGAAGUUGACGGCAAUGAACAAGCUCUUGAUGGAGGAAAAUGAUAGGUUGCAGAAGCAAGUGUCACACCUGGUUCAUGAAAAGAGCUACUUCUGUCAACACACCCCCAACGCUUCACUUCCAGCUACAGACAUAAGCUGUGAAUCAGUGGUGACUAGUGGACUAGAGCCUACAAGGGUCGCAGAGAUUGUCAAGGAUCGGCUUUCGUGGUUCCGGGAAUGCCGAGCUGUUGAUGUUAUGAAUUUUUUUGUAUUCUUACAAGGCAUUAGAGAAGUGAAAUCAAUGCAAUGCAUACAGCUACAGAUGUGAGGCUUUGAAUCUGCGGUUGUGUAGGCUAAUGUUCUUUGAUAUAUGUAGGGGUUUGCAUUCACUGACUAAGCAAUGUCCUGCUUUGAAGUUGUUCCAAAGCAUUUGAAAGUUGAGGAAUACGUAGUGUUAUAUUCUUACGAGGCUUUAGAGAAGUGAAAUCACAUACAGCGACAUAUGUGAGCUUUA
This is an RNA transcript of Brassica napus (rape), 2100 nucleotides long. It is a transcript of the gene named dof zinc finger protein DOF1.4, with no coding region annotated. The transcript has 5 exons. Lineage: Eukaryota; Viridiplantae; Streptophyta; Magnoliopsida; Brassicales; Brassicaceae. The record is from RefSeq and is a predicted model, not a curated record.